This is a long non-coding RNA of Capsicum annuum, 987 nucleotides long. RefSeq lists it as uncharacterized. Lineage: Eukaryota; Viridiplantae; Streptophyta; Magnoliopsida; Solanales; Solanaceae. The transcript has 3 exons. The record is from RefSeq and is a predicted model, not a curated record.
GGAUAUGUCUAUCUUACUAGUGCAAUAAAUUGUAAGCCCUAAAAUAGUUUCCUCUUUUUUUUGUAUUAUAUAUAGACGAACUAUAGAUGCCAAUAGAUUUUUUUUGUGGAUUGUGCUAAUGUCCCCUUUUUUUUCUUUUUUAAUAUUUCGAAUAAGUGAUCCUAGAUUCAAUCUUGAAUUCUACUCCAAAGUGUAGGGCAUGUUUUUGCUCAAGAUAUUGGAUUCCCGAAAGAUCAAGUUCAGCUUAUACUCUAUGUGUGGUGUAUGAGGAAACUAUAUCUAGGCAGAGUGAGCAUGAAGGUAUCGAUAUUGAGUAAAUCACCAAACUAGAGAUGCUAGCAUUGAUGAUCAGAAAAAUAUUGGUUGGUUGAAACAUGGUUCGAUUAACUUCUAACUCAGUAACAAAGAGAGAGUGGCAUUAGAGAACAAAUUAAAUGAUGAAGGAAAUACUGCUAAUUGAUCUAGAAAUUGAAGAGUGAAAAAAUGAACUGAACAGGUAAAUGAUGCUGGUGGCAGGCCUCAGAGAUACAAUUGAUGAAUCAGUAGAAAAAAAUACUGAUGAUAUGUUGAGAGAAAAUGAGAAUUCUAUGAAGAAGUGCACCUGGACUAUAGAGCUCCUCACCCAUUAAUUGUCUCAUCCACUAAAAAGGAAGAAGUUGGGGAGUGUUGAUAAAAUCCACUGUCCAUCCUAUGGAGAAAUCCUUUCCCUUGCUUAUUCUUUCGUUCGAGUGCUUUGUUGAAGAAGCCGAGUGAAUAAGCUUUAUAAGAAUGGAACUCCUAUAUUUGAACUAUGAUGGCAAGAAAAUGAACAAUAGUCCAUUACCUUUACUUCUUCUGAAAUUGACAAAGAAAACAUACAUUGAUCAAAUGGUGUUGUUGUUUUAUUUUUCUCUUUUAACCAAAGUAAUAAUAUUGAGUAUAUAAACUCUCGUAUCUAAACACAUACAGUGAGAUAAGAUGUAAAUUAUUUUUUUCUUUUUUCUUCCA